RNAcentral lists this microRNA precursor (154 nucleotides) under Gossypium hirsutum (cotton). Its description in RNAcentral is "MIR7502 microRNA precursor family". It matches the Rfam family "MIR7502 microRNA precursor family". Lineage: Eukaryota; Viridiplantae; Streptophyta; Magnoliopsida; Malvales; Malvaceae. The record is from Rfam by way of RNAcentral.
UAUGAAAAAUUUCAUCCAUUUCUAUUGUUAAAAACUUACAUGUGGUUGACAGAAUAACUAAAUAGUUACUGAUGGUGUGUCAAAUAUACCGCAUUUUAACGUACAGACUACAGAGUCUUGCUUUUAACAAUAGAAAUAGAUGAAAAUUUUAAUA